RNAcentral lists this ribosomal RNA (420 nucleotides) under uncultured bacterium. RNAcentral's name for it is "bacterial SSU rRNA". It matches the Rfam family "Bacterial small subunit ribosomal RNA", at positions 355 to 772 of the family's 1533-position model. The record is from RNAcentral.
UGAGGAAUAUUGGUCAAUGGGUGCAAGCCUGAACCAGCCAUCCCGCGUGAAGGACGACUGCCCUAUGGGUUGUAAACUUCUUUUGUAUAGGGAUAAACCUACCCUCGUGAGGGUAGCUGAAGGUACUAUACGAAUAAGCACCGGCUAACUCCGUGCCAGCAGCCGCGGUAAUACGGAGGGUGCAAGCGUUAUCCGGAUUUAUUGGGUUGAAAGGGUCCGUAGGCGGACUUAUCAGUCAGUGGUGAAAGCCUGUCGCUUAACGAUAGAACUGCCAUUGAUACUGUGAGUCUUGAGUAUCUUUGAGGUAGCUGGAAUAAGUAGUGUAGCGGUGAAGUGCAUAGAUAUUACUUAGAACACCAAUUGCGAAGGCAGGUUACCAAGAUAUAACUGACGCUGAGGGACGAAAGCGUGGGGAGCGAA